CCGAAAGGGGACCGAUCCUUCGGGAAGCCCGCACAGGUGCUGCAUGGCUGUCGUCAGCUCGUGUCGUGAGAUGUCCGGUUAAGUCCGCUAACGAGCGCAACCCCCACUGUGUGUUAUACGUGUCACACGAGACUGCCGGUAUCAAGCCGGAGGAAGGUGGGGAUGACGUCAAGUCAGCAUGGCCUUUAUAUCCUGGGCUACACACACGCUACAAUGGCCGGUACAAUGGGUCGCGAAACCGCGAGGUGAAGCCAAUCCUAAAAAGCCGGUCUCAGUUCAGAUUGCAGGCUGCAACCCGCCUGCAUGAAGACGGAGUUGCUAGUAACCGCAGGUCAGCUAUACUGCGGUGAAUACGUUCCCGGGCCUUGUACACACCGCCCGUCACGUCAUGGGAGCUGGCAAUACCUGAAGCCGGUAUCCUAACCCGCAAGGGAGGGAGCCGUCGAGGGUAGGGUCGGUGACUGGGACGAAGUCGUAACAAGGUAGGUGUACCGGAAGG
RNAcentral lists this ribosomal RNA (499 nucleotides) under uncultured bacterium. RNAcentral describes it as "bacterial SSU rRNA". It matches the Rfam family "Bacterial small subunit ribosomal RNA", at positions 1001 to 1512 of the family's 1533-position model. The record is from RNAcentral.